RNAcentral lists this ribosomal RNA (464 nucleotides) under uncultured bacterium. Its description in RNAcentral is "partial 16S ribosomal RNA". It matches the Rfam family "Bacterial small subunit ribosomal RNA", at positions 28 to 506 of the family's 1533-position model. The record is from RNAcentral.
GACGAACGCUGGCGGCGUGCCUAACACAUGCAAGUCGAACGGAAAGGCCCCUCUGGGGGUACUCUAGUGGCGAACGCGUGUGUAUCACGCGAGUAACCUGCCCUUGACUUCGGGAUUACUUCAGGAAACUGGGGCUAAUACCGGCUAGGAAUCCGUGCUGCAUGGUGGGGGUUGGAAAGCUUCGGCGGUUUUGGAUGGACCCGCGGCUUAUCAGCUUGUUGGUGGGGUAGUGGCUUACCAAGGCGUCGACGGGUAGCCGGCCUGAGAGGGGGACCGGCCACAGUGCGACUGAGAUAGGGCCCAGACUCGUACGGGAGGCAACAGGGGAAAGUAUUGCACAGUGGGGGGGAGCGUGUUACAGCGGCGCCGCGUGCGUAAUGACCGCCUUCGUGUUGUGAACCGCUUUCAGGAGAGGCGAAGCUUGUGUGGACGGUACCAGCAAAAAAGGCACCGCUAACUUACGU